UACGUAGGCAGCAAGCGUUGUUCGGAAUUACUGGGCGUAAAGAGUGUGUAGGCGGUGCUCUAAGUCUGUCGUGAAAUCUCCCGGCUUAACUGGGAGGGUGCGGCGGAAACUGGAAUGCUAGAGGGUGGGAGAGGAAAGCGGAAUUCCGAGUGUAGAGGUGAAAUUCGUAGAUAUUCGGAAGAACACCAGUGGCGAAGGCGACUUACUGGACACAUAUUGACGCUGAGGUGCGAAAGCGUGGGGAGCAAACAGG
RNAcentral lists this ribosomal RNA (253 nucleotides) under uncultured bacterium. RNAcentral's name for it is "partial 16S ribosomal RNA". It matches the Rfam family "Bacterial small subunit ribosomal RNA", at positions 524 to 776 of the family's 1533-position model. The record is from RNAcentral.